RNAcentral lists this ribosomal RNA (658 nucleotides) under uncultured bacterium. RNAcentral's name for it is "bacterial SSU rRNA". It matches the Rfam family "Bacterial small subunit ribosomal RNA", at positions 187 to 848 of the family's 1533-position model. The record is from RNAcentral.
GCAUGUUCACAUGAUUAAAGGUAUUCCGGUAGACGAUGGGGAUGCGUUCCAUUAGAUAGUAGGCGGGGUAACGGCCCACCUAGUCUUCGAUGGAUAGGGGUUCUGAGAGGAAGGUCCCCCACAUUGGAACUGAGACACGGUCCAAACUCCUACGGGAGGCAGCAGUGAGGAAUAUUGGUCAAUGGGCGAGAGCCUGAACCAGCCAAGUAGCGUGAAGGAUGACUGCCCUAUGGGUUGUAAACUUCUUUUAUAAAGGAAUAAAGUCGGGUAUGCAUACCCGUUUGCAUGUACUUUAUGAAUAAGGAUCGGCUAACUCCGUGCCAGCAGCCGCGGUAAUACGGAGGAUCCGAGCGUUAUCCGGAUUUAUUGGGUUUAAAGGGAGCGUAGAUGGAUGUUUAAGUCAGUUGUGAAAGUUUGCGGCUCAACCGUAAAAUUGCAGUUGAUACUGGAUGUCUUGAGUGCAGUUGAGGCAGGCGGAAUUCGUGGUGUAGCGGUGAAAUGCUUAGAUAUCACGAAGAACUCCGAUUGCGAAGGCAGCCUGCUAAGCUGCAGCUGACAUUGAGGCUCGAAAGUGUGGGUAUCAAACAGGAUUAGAUACCCUGGUAGUCCACACGGUAAACGAUGAAUACUCGCUGUUUGCGAUAUACAGCAAGCGGCC